GCAGCACAGUAAGAGCUUGCUCUUACGGGUGGCGAGUGGCGGACGGGUGAGGAAUGCAUCGGAAUCUACUCUGUCGUGGGGGAUAACGUAGGGAAACUUACGCUAAUACCGCAUACGACCUACGGGUGAAAGCAGGGGAUCUUCGGACCUUGCGCGAUUGAAUGAGCCGAUGCCCGAUUAGCUAGUUGGCGGGGUAAGAGCCCACCAAGGCGACGAUCGGUAGCUGGUCUGAGAGGAUGAUCAGCCACACUGGAACUGAGACACGGUCCAGACUCCUACGGGAGGCAGCAGUGGGGAAUAUUGGACAAUGGGCGCAAGCCUGAUCCAGCCAUACCGCGUGGGUGAAGAAGGCCUUCGGGUUGUAAAGCCCUUUUGUUGGGAAAGAAAAGCAGCCGGUUAAUACCCGGUUGUUCUGACGGUACCCAAAGAAUAAGCACCGGCUAACUUCGUGCCAGCAGCCGCGGUAAUACGAAGGGUGCAAGCGUUACUCGGAAUUACUGGGCGUAAAGCGUGCGUAGGUGGUUGUUUAAGUCUGUCGUGAAAGCCCUGGGCUCAACCUGGGAAUGGCGAUGGAAACUGGGCGA
RNAcentral lists this ribosomal RNA (584 nucleotides) under Stenotrophomonas sp. HPC327. RNAcentral describes it as "bacterial SSU rRNA". It matches the Rfam family "Bacterial small subunit ribosomal RNA", at positions 66 to 640 of the family's 1533-position model. The record is from RNAcentral. Lineage: Bacteria; Pseudomonadati; Pseudomonadota; Gammaproteobacteria; Lysobacterales; Lysobacteraceae.